Molecule: ribosomal RNA, 253 nt
Filed under: uncultured archaeon
Lineage: Archaea
Description: partial 16S ribosomal RNA
Rfam family: Archaeal small subunit ribosomal RNA
Source: RNAcentral
UACGUAAUCCCUAAGUGGUUCCCACUUGUAUUGGGCCUAAAACACCUGUAGCCGGUGAUUUAAGUCUUUGGUGAAAUCGGACAGCUCAACUGUUCGAAUGGCUAAAGAUACUGAAUCGCUUGGAGAAGUAAGACGUGAGGGGAAUUUUUGGGGUAACGGUGAAAUGUUAUGAUCCCAAAAAGACCUCCAGUAGCGAAGGCGCCUCACGAGGACUAUCUCGACGGUGAGAGAUGAAAGCUGGGGGAGCGACAAG